AUCGAACGCUGGCGGCGUGCUUAACACAUGCAAGUCGAACGCGAAAGGGACUUCGGUCCUGAGUAAAGUGGCGCACGGGUGAGUAACGCGUGGAUAAUCUGCCCUUAUGAUUGGACUAACAGUUGGAAACGGCUGCUAAUACCGGAUACACUCAAAAUGAACUUUUUGAGGAAAGAUGGCCUCUUCUUACAUGCUAUCGCAUACGGAUGACUCCACGUCCCAUUAGCUUGUUGGCGGGGUAACGGCCCACCAAGGCAACGAUGGGUAGCCGAUUUGAGAGGAGGGUCGGCCACACUGGAACUGAAACACGGUCCAGACUCCUACGGGAGGCAGCAGUGGGGAAUAUUGCGCAAUGGGCGAAAGCCUGACGCAGCGACGCCGCGUGAGGGAUGAAUGUUUUCGGAUCGUAAACCUCUGUCAGAAGGGAAGAAACUACGUUGUGCUAAUCAGCAGCGUACUGACGGUACCUUCAAAGGAAGCACCGGCUAACUCCGUGCCAGCCGCCGCUGUAA
RNAcentral lists this ribosomal RNA (512 nucleotides) under uncultured bacterium. Its description in RNAcentral is "partial 16S ribosomal RNA". It matches the Rfam family "Bacterial small subunit ribosomal RNA", at positions 30 to 523 of the family's 1533-position model. The record is from RNAcentral.